This 774-nucleotide ribosomal RNA is filed under the name uncultured Neocallimastigales. Its description in RNAcentral is "partial large subunit ribosomal RNA". It matches the Rfam family "Eukaryotic large subunit ribosomal RNA", at positions 20 to 616 of the family's 3401-position model. Lineage: Eukaryota; Fungi; Neocallimastigomycota; Neocallimastigomycetes; Neocallimastigales. The record is from RNAcentral.
UACUAGAGUAGCACUCGCAUAUCAAUAAGCGGAGGAAAAGAAACUAACAAGGAUUCCCCUAGUAACGGCGAGUGAAGCGGGAAGAGCUCAGAUUUGAAAUCUUAAAGGGUUUCCCUUUACGAAUUGUAGUUUAAAGAAGUGUUUUCUGUUGAGGUUUUGGUAAAAGUUCUUUGGAAUAGGACAUCAUAGAGGGUGAGAAUCCCGUAUUUGACCUUUACUUUCAACUUUGUGAUACACUUUCAAAGAGUCGGAUUGUUUGGGAAUGCAGUCCAAAAUGGGUGGUAAAUUUCAUCUAAAGCUAAAUAUUGGUGAGAGACCGAUAGCGAACAAGUACCGUGAGGGAAAGAUGAAAAGAACUUUGAAAAGAGAGUUAAACAGUACGUGAAAUUGUCAAAAGGGAAGCGUUUGACACCAGUGUUGUUUUUCUGAAAAUCAAUUAAAGAACUGUUUAUGCUAAGCUGUUUAGACUUUAUCAGCUAUCUGUUUAGUUUUGAGCUUUUCUUUAAUGCACUUUUCAGUUAACAAGUCAACAUCAAUUUCUUUUGCUGUAAAAAAGCUUGAGGAGGGUGGCUUGAGAUUCGUCUUAAGUGUUUAUAGCCUCUUGCCUAUGCAGUCGGAGAGAUUGAGGUCUGCAGCGUAGAUCCUUCGGGGCUAAAUGCAUUUGUGCUAAGUUAUAGCAUUUUAUAGACAACUUGUUGACUAUGAUUUGUCUUGUAGCUUACUCGCUUAUGUUAUUUUACCUACGCUUAGGAUGUUGAGCGCAUGUCUCUCUCU